Puntigrus tetrazona (Sumatra barb) is the source of this 525-nucleotide non-coding RNA. NCBI's taxonomy places the organism in Eukaryota, Metazoa, Chordata, Actinopteri, Cypriniformes, Cyprinidae. The record is from the annotation of a RefSeq genome assembly.
AAGGACUCAGAGUCAUAAUCAUAUAAUCAUAUCUGACAGAGAAAGGAUUCAAUCUGACUCUCCUCAAAGUGAACACAAUCAAUGGAUCUUCAUUCAGUUAUUCUUUUCUGUGCCUCAGCAGCUGCUGCAUUUGGAAAUGUUUAUGAGGAGGGUUUGAAUGUUACAUUGCCCUGUGAUCGUUCACCCUCAACUUCAGAUGAUAUCUACUGGUAUCGUCAGUAUGAAAGAUCAAAACCUGAAUUUCUUGUACUCACCUACAGCACUGCAAAAGAAACUCAGUCUGAUGUAGAUCCAAGAUUUACUGUUAAAGUUCGAAAAGGAGAAAAAAUCCAUGUGGAUCUGAUCAUCUCCUCUGCUGCUGUAUCAGACUCUGCUCUGUAUUACUGUGCUCUGAGGCCCACAGUGACAGGAAACACUACAACACUGUACAAAAACCUGCUACAAUAAGAGAUGAGAGAGAAACACAGAGACAGAGAUGAAUACAGAGAAAAAGAAGCUGUAUCUGUCAAUUAUGAACAACAACAA